This 349-nucleotide unclassified non-coding RNA is filed under the name Hevea brasiliensis (rubber tree). Lineage: Eukaryota; Viridiplantae; Streptophyta; Magnoliopsida; Malpighiales; Euphorbiaceae. The record is from RNAcentral.
UUUAUGAAGAACACUUCACUAGAUUAUGGUUAAAACAAGGUCGAAAUUGAGUUCCAAAAUCAAGCAGUAAAACUGUCCAAAACUUAAACCUUGUGAAACUUCAUAAGUAACUUAAGAAUACAUAAUGCAAUUAUUGGAUUAGUUAUUGGUAACAUUUAGGAUGAGUAUUGAGACACUUUAAUUUUGUGUUUCAGUUACAAAGGAGCCUUCCAAGGAAGGAGGAAGAAAGAAUUAAGUCAAGAUAAGUAAAGGAGAUUUGUGCACAACAAAUUUAAAAUUCUUUGUUUCUAUUUGGAAAACUAUUUGAAUAUGUGUUGAAAAUAAAUUGUGAUUGUUAUGGCUUUGAGAA